GGCAACUGGCCUUGCGUAUUUGAAGAAGGUCAAGGGUUCAGGGGGAGGUUUGAUGCUUCUGAGACCUAGUAAGGUCUCAGAUCUGAGUUUUUGUUGUGGUUAGCAGGGUUUGAGGGCCAUGGAUGGUAAGGUUGGGGAGAGGGAUGGAAGGGGAUUGUCUGAGGCCAGUUUGGCCGGAAUUCGGUGGGAUUUAGGUUUUAGGGUAGACUUUAAAUCGAUAUUGAGCCGCUUCACUUUGAUUCGAAGGGUGUGACAUGAAUGGGGUUGGAAAGAGGAAGAUGAGGUGGUUCAGGGGUGUAACUUUGGACGGGUUUGGAGUUGGUUCGACGGAGACGGUGGUUCCGACGACCCUUCUUUUGAAUAUUCGAGAUGGUGGAGAGUUUUUCGAAGGAAACUGAUUGCAGGAUGGGGAAGAGGAGGUAAUUGUGGUCCUAUGGUGUAAAUUUGGGGCGGUUUGGUGACUGGAUGCCACCGUGAGGCGAUUUUCGGCGGCGUUAUUAAGGUGGUUGCUGGGUGGCCAAGGGCGGAGACGGGGAGGCGUUACAGCGGUGUGUUUGCUACGAGGAAGGUGACGAGUU
This 578-nucleotide long non-coding RNA is filed under the name Nicotiana benthamiana. RNAcentral describes it as "long non-coding RNA (NBEN_LNC022340)". The record is from RNAcentral. Lineage: Eukaryota; Viridiplantae; Streptophyta; Magnoliopsida; Solanales; Solanaceae.